This 8435-nucleotide long non-coding RNA is filed under the name Nicotiana tabacum (common tobacco). RNAcentral describes it as "long non-coding RNA (NTAB_LNC015719)". Lineage: Eukaryota; Viridiplantae; Streptophyta; Magnoliopsida; Solanales; Solanaceae. The record is from RNAcentral.
CCCAAUCUUCCUACCCGACCCGCCUGCCCGGCCCGUUUUACCCCUUUCUUUAAUUAAAACCCUAGACCUACACCCUAGGAUAGAGAUAGAAAAAAUCAAGAGCUCCUAGAUUUUUACCCCUGAAGAAACGACGCAUCCCUCUAGAGCUUCUUCUUCUCCAUCUUCAUUUCCAAGAAAAGCUCACACUCAAAAGAGGAGCAACUGUGACCCAUGUUCCCCAUCUCUUAAUAAAGCUUUACCCUUUUGAUAUCUUCUUCGUUUUUCUCAAGAUAGAAAGGGAAAGAAACGCGCGCACACACAAAGAGAAGGAAGAAAACAGAAAAAAGAGAUAGAAACAGAAGCAUUUUCGAAAUGUAAAGCUAAAAAGGGGGUUAAAGAGUUCUUCUUCUUUGGUUUACACUUUUGGAUUUUCCCGAUUUUAGUCUUGUUUUCCAAAAUAAAAGGAAAUUUCGGUUGAAAUCCUCUGUUGCGGAUCUAUUCAUUUGGCUGGAUUCACUCGCUUCAGUUUUGCUGUUUGAUUAGAGUAGAGCUGUGAUUGUUGGGCUUUUCUGCUGAGUUUCGUUGUUCAUGUCAAACAUUCGUUUGUUUAUUAGUUGACUUUCCAUACUUUAGGUAUGUUUUCCUUUUAUUUUAUUUUGUAUUUGGUAUGUUAUGACCUUUCGAUGCUAGAGUUAUGUUUACUGUUCAUAUCUGUUAUUUCAAGUUAAUUUAGGAAUGUUUAGAGUUUUAGUUAUUGAUUUUUUUUAUGUGGUAGGACUUUGUUCUUCAUAAAAAUGUGUUUUAAGUUUUGCGCCGACUUAAUUUGUAUCAAUAUUUAAUAUGAAAGAGGAUGAUUUAAGCUUCAGCUGUUCUUAAAUUAGUUUUUUUUUUGUUUUUUACCAUGAAAGACAGAUUUGUCAUUUAAAUUUUGUAUGUUAAAGAGACCUUUGUUACCUUGUAUUGGAAUUGUUCAUAGUUCUGAUUCUGGUUUUUAAAAAUAGUGGACGAAUUUGCUUAACAAACAUUUUGUUACCAAACAUUGGUAAUCAUGGUUGCCAUAAACUCUUUUGUGAAAGAUUAAAUGCUUAGAUAUUUGUUUUCAUUUGGUGAUGCAAAAAUUAUAGAUGGUUAGACUUUGUAAUUGAUAAUUUAUAUUAUUCCGAUUUAUAUAUAAAUUAGAACUGGUUGAGGAAUUUGGAGUAAAUGAACUCCAAUAUUACAUUGUUUGGCCAUGUGAAUUGUUGAUACUCUUAUUUGCGUUAUUUUGUUAGUAAGGAAUGAUAAGGGAAAAAUUUCCCUUUAGUGUUCCAUACAGAGAACUUUUUGUGCAGUGAGGGUUUGAAUUUGCCUCAAGCACUGUGUGCUUAAGAUUGUUAUCAAAAGAAUUGACGCAAGUCACUGACUAUGGUCAUUGGGAACUAUUUAUGUGUUUGAAGCCGAAUGUUUGGACUUAACUAUUUAGCCCAUUCACAAUUGUCAAUAUUAAGCUAAUGAAUCAUAUGAACAUCCAUAGUUUGCUUUAAUUGAAUACAAAUAUAUUCUUUUAAAAUAAAUUAAGGUGUGCCAUACGCAAACAAAAUCCAUAAUCCAUGGCCCUCAUAAGAUUAGAUUCAAGAACUAGCACUUAUAGAAAAAUGUUUGAGGUGUGCCAUAAAUAAAUUAAAUCAUCCAUGGCCUUCACAAAUGUUGCUAUUGAAGAUUGAAUCGUCGUAGUUACUUUGGGCGCGUUAUUUAAAUAAUUCAUUAUAGCUACGGGUACGGUUCCCGUAACGUAGUUGUGAUUUUUAAUUAUUAAAUUUGGGUGUGCAUUUCAUGUGACCCAAUUUCAAUUCUCAACAACGUUAAAUAGAACGUGUCGAGAACCGCGAGUGCAUUUCAUGUGGCGUGGUUCAAGGCAUGUUUUAAAUAACGUUGAAUCUUCCUAAAAUAAUUAAAAGUGGUUAAUAAGUUUAAAAUGCAUCAUAGGCUAAAACACGUGAUAAAUCGGAUAAUAGGCCAAUUGUAAUAGUUUAAGCGACCGUGCUAGAACCACGAAAUCCGGGAAUGUCUAACAUCUUCUCCCGGGUUAACAAAAUUCCUUACUUAGAAUUUCUGGUUCGCGAACUUCAAAAGGAAAGUCGAAUUUCGUCGAUUUGGGAUUUACAAUAAAUCGGUGACUUGGGACACCAAAUAAACUAUCCCAAGUGGUGACUCUGAAUUGAAUAAAAUAAUUCCAUUUCAAAUAAUGUCACUUUAAUUGGAAAAACUCCCUUAUAUAUCCUCGGGUGCGUAAAAAGGAGCUGUGACAGCUCUGGCGACUUUGCUGGGGAGCGAAACCCAGAACUUCGGUUCAAAGUUUAAGAAUUCGAGCUUAGAAUAAGUGUUAUAGUUGGCUUGUUUUAUCUGAUUUUACAUGUUGAGCCUAAUGUGCUAAAUGCCGCUUUUACUGCUUUGAUAUUGUUUGGAUUGUAUAUAAAUUGUUAUGAAACCCUCUUCUCCCUGAGUCUUCUAAAUCAUCUGGGAAGUGCGCACUUCGUGUGACUUCUCUUCUGUUAGAAUCAUAUCCCAAUUUUAGAAUAAGGUUCGGACAAGUUGCAAAGUCGGUGAAGCUUCUAUAUUCCCGGUACGCUGCCCCCCCUAGCUCAAGUUGUCCGCUCAGGUAAGCCAGGUCUAGAACAAAUACACCCAGAUUUUAAACCUAGAAUAACAUAGCCCCAUGCCGGAUCCCUAGUAGGAACGCUUGUUUGCGUCACAUGCAUUUAACUUUGGGGACUCAACACAGGAGUUGAGUCCGUCUAGGACAGGUGUACCCAAAAAUUAAAAGACCAUCCUGAUGCAUCUUAUGUGCUACUUGCGCAUCCAUUUGAUUCGACUUGCAUGUUGACCGACUUCUAGAAUAGGUAAAGAAAAAAUAAUAAAAAAAAUCAAAAUAAAGAGUGAGGUAGAUAUUUAGAAAAUUCUAAAACUCUGCCGAAAUUUUGAAAAAAGAAGAGUCAUUUCAAAAUGAGCCAAAAUUUCAAGUGCCAUGUUUCCCCUUUUCCGUCAAAACUGACCAAACUACGCGGGUCUGAUUCUCACCGGAUGUGAGAUACGUAGGCAAACCUCAUCGGUUCCGACCCCAAUUUUCAAAAAAUCCAAAAAUAUUUUCCUUUAGUUCAUUCUUUAGAAGUCUUUCCUUAGAAAAUGCAAAAAAAAAAAAAAGAGGAAGUUUUCUUUAAACUCAAAAAAAAAAAAAAGUAGUUUCUUUCUUUCUAAAGUCUUUCAUACGGAAAAAUAAAAUAAUGAAAAACAUGAAGGUCCAAAAUACGGGUUUCCUUCAUUUUGAAGUAUUUUUCCGAAAAAAACAAAAUCAGAAACAAAAAUUCAAAAAUAUUCUUUUCUUCUUUAGAAGUCUUUCUUUUGUAAAUGUCCAUUAAAAAUUGAGAAUUUAAAGUCCAAAAAUAUUUUUUCUUUUCUUUAGAAGUGCUUUUAUAAAUAAAUAAAAAGCUCAGAAAUUCAAAAUAUAUAUAUUUGUUUUCUCUUAAAAAGUCCCUCUUUCGAAAAUUAAGAGGCAACAUCCAAAAUCCAAAAAUAUUUUCUUUCUUCUUUAGAAAAAGAGAAAACAAAUAAAAAUUCAAACAAAAAUAUUUUCUUUUUUACUUUUUAAAAUUCCCAAAGUUCAAAUCAAAAUCAAAUGAAUUUUUAGAAGUCCUUCUUUUAAAAACAAAACAAAAAUCAAAAUUCAAAAAAAAGUAUUUCCUCUCUUCUUUUAAAGCAUUUCUUUCAAAAAUUCCAACCAAAAAAAAGUUAGUUUAUUUACUCUAUUCUUGAUCUUCUCGAACUACGCAAGAUCUGAUUCAUGCGGUGUCAUGAUACGUAGGCAAUCCCCAUCGGAUUCGAUCAUAGCUAUAAAAUAAUUGAGUGAAAAAUAAAUUGAAAAAAAAGAGAGAAGAAAAAUUUGAGUGAAAAAGAAAGAAAAGAGCGAAAAAAGGAGCGGCAAGAAAUAAAGAGUGACAAAUAAAAGAGAAAAAGAGAGUGCCAAAAAUAAAAGAGCGGCAAAAAUGAGAUGAAAAAUCAAAAGUGUUCAAAGAGAAGCAGAAAUAAAAGAAAAGAUGUACAUAUGGAAAGAGUUAGUUAAGGCCGGGAUGAAACAUGCAACCAUUCAAACACAUGGUAGAAGCGUUUAACUGUUAGGUGCAUUGUAUCCCAACAUGUGAUUUCCUAUAUAUUAAAUGUCUCAAAGUAACAAGGUUGUGGUGUGAGCAAAUUAGCUAGGUGCUGUUCAGGUGGUUGGUUUUGUUGGUAUGCGGUGAUGAACGCGCAACCUUGUACGCGGCCACAACAUUAUACACAAAACUGAGCUCUACCUCCCAAAAAUGCUCAUUCUUACCAAGCUCCAAAUAAUCCCAAAUCAAAUAUUUCCAGUACAAUCCUCGCCCAAGAGAACCUUUCAAAAGGAAUCAGUUCACCCCUAUUGGUGAAUCAUACUCGGGUUUGUUCCAAAAGCUAGUCUGGCGAGGUCUGCUGCAGCCGGUGGCCCCAAACCGGCCAAACCCCGAGUCCCACUCGCACUAAGAUGACGCUGGACAUGAAUACCACUCUGGAGCAGCGAGACAUAGUACAAAGGACCGUUGGACCCUCAAAAGGGCGGUCGAAGAUUUGGUUGAAGCUGAAAGAAUCGUUUUUCGGGAUGAAGAAGCUCCUGAUGUGAUGAACAAUCUGUUGAAUGCUCACAACAUCGGGCCAAUAGUUGGAAUAAUUCAUGAAGCUGAGGAAUUUGAUCCAGCACUGAAGGCCAUUGCAGCCAUUGUCGAGACAGAAGAAAAGCCAAAAAUGGUCGCAAGCAUGAAAGUUCCCCAUCAUAUGGGAGUCUUAGUAGCCAGUCUUGCUAUCCUUUCUGCAUCCGAAUUAUCUCAGGGUGUGAUCCAGAUGUUUUACCUUAUUGUUUUACUUUCUUAAUCUUGUCAUUUUUCUUUCUUAUUCUCUUUUUAGUUCUGUUAAAUGCAGAUUUCAAUAACAUGACAUGCUUGCGAACUUCAUGCCCAGAUCCUGAAAGUUGUCGGACCUCGAAAUAAUGAAUCAAGAAUUAGAUCGCAAUGAAGAUAAAGUUUAAGAAAAUAAAACAAAGAGUUGGAACAAUUGAAGGAAAAUUGGUUCCCGGAUUGGAAAGGUCCAUAUAUUGCAACAAGAGUACUGCCAAAAGAGUGUGUUGUACUUGGGACACAUCGAAGGAAAUGUUUCUGAAAUAACUAUCAAUGCAAAUACAGUCAAAAGGUACUAUGUUGGAUCCUCCAUAUAGUACUAAUAUCCUCCGGCUGGGAUGACGAAGGCUUUCAUUCUCGCUACCCAAAAACUAUCAACCCUUUGCAAACCCUUUGAGACGGCUCCCAUUCUUUGAUUACCCUAUUUAGAACCUCAAAGUGUUAUUGAAAAAAUAAAUGAAAAAAAAGAAAAAAGAAAAAGAAUACAAAGAAAAGAGGAAGAAAAGACAGAAAAUGAAAGGAAAAAAAAGAGAGGGAAAAGGAAAGGAAAAAGAAAGAGAACAAAACAAAAUAGAAGAAAAAACAAAAGAAAAUCCAAAAACAAAAGUUCCCUGAACUACGUUCGACUUGAUUCCGAAAAGAUACGUAGGCAACCUCUCUCUGGGGUUCAGUUACACCAAAACAAAAAUCCAAUCCCCCCCAAAAAAAGGAAACUGGGGCAGUUAUAUUAGUUCGACGAUGAGCCCGCUUGAACGAUUCCAAAGUUGUAAUUCGAUCCAAAUUCAUUUUACCCAAACCUUGUUCAAGUCCUUCCGACCAAUCGGCGAAAGGUUUUCAAAAUCGGAGAACGCAGUUGUUGGAUCCGAUACAAUCAAGAUGAGAGAAAUAAAAUGAGAGAGUCUUAUUGGUGAAAACCCACGGGCACCAUAAGUCGACGGUGAGCAUAGAAAUUGAAAAUGAGAGAGCCUUGUUAGUGAAAACUCGUAAAAGAGCACUAUAAGGCGAUGGUGAGAAGAGAAAUGAGAGAGGUCGAUUGGUAAAAACCCACAAAGGGCGCCGUUGAUCAAAAAGAAGAAACCCCUCACCACUAUUGGUAUUGAAAGAGUCCUGGCAAGGUUUCUUGUUUUUAGAACACGGGUCGCAAUGGGUUUAUGAGAAGUUGGAUAGUUGUGCAGAUCGGGUAUCUAGUCCAAGAAGCAUAUCAUGUCUAUUGAAGUCUGCACGCACCCGAGAUAUGUCCUUUUUUCCUCCCUGAAAGGGACGUUUCUCUUUAAAUUUAUUUUCUUUGUCCUUUGUUUACUUUUCUUUGAAUCCUUUUCGGUCUAACUCUAUUCCGAAACUAAUACAAAGAAAAUGUGACAAGAUUGGUUUUACAGGGUUUUGCUUAAUAAAAGCCAAGUCCAAAGAAAAGUACCCCAGCCUCAGCGGGUGCAUCAAGUCGAUACCGACUGGACAUGAUAGUCAAUGCUCUAAAUUCAGAGUUGUUGAAAAUGAAAAGAAAUCCAAAGUCAAGAGCCCCUAGAGGUAGAAUAAAGUGAAAGGGCCAAAGCCCCAUACGGUUGAGCCGUCAUGAGAAAUUUUGUAAAGUUGAGUUCCUCGGUAUUAGGGGAGAGAUCAAUCUUCAGAAAAGCCAGCAAGAAGUAGAGGUUCUUACCAGAAGAGUUGGGCCGCGAUCAAGUGAUCAAAACAAUCAAGGCCACACAACCAACCACUGUUUCAAACUAACAAUUGUUCUUUAUUUGAAAAUUUGAAACAGGUGCAAUCUGUAACGACCCGACCGGUCAUUUUGAGCUUUGGACCAUUUUUCAGCGGUUUGAGGCCAUAACAACUUCACUUCAGGUAUUAUGACUUGUACACAUCGUCGAAAUUGAACUUCGGGAAGUUCAAAGUUGAUUUGGAAAGAAAAUUCUCAUUUCAGAAGCUUUAAAUUGAAAGAAUUAGCUAAAAUCAGAUUUUUUGAGUAAACGACCUCGGAAUCAGGAUUCGAAGGUUGCAUCAGGUCUGUAUGAUGAUUUCGAACUUGGGCGUAUGUCCGGGUCGGGUUUUGGAUAACCCGGGAGCGUUUUGUCGCCUAUUGUGGAAGUUAGCAUUUUGAAGGAAUUUUAUAAGUAUGGGUUGAAGCGCAUUUCAGUGUUAUCGAUGUCUGUUUAGGAUUCCGAGUCUGGGAAUAGCUCCAUAUGGUGAUUCUAGAGUUGGGAGCGUGAUCGGAAGUGAAUUCGGAGGUCCGUAAGUCAUUUGGCCAAAGAUAGGAAUUUGAAGGUUUUUGAGAAGUUUGACCAGAAGUGGAUUUUUUGAUAUCGGGGUCGGAAUUCGAUUCCUGAAGUUGGAGUAGGUUCGUAAUGGAAAAUAUGACUUCUGUGCAAAAUUUGAGGUCAAUCGGACGUGAUUUGUUAGGUUUAAACAUCGAAAGUAGAAGUUUGAAAUUUUAAAGUUCAUAAAGCUUGGAUUGGAGGUCGAUUCAUGGUUUUAGUGUUGUUUGAUAUGAUUUGAGGCCUCGAGCAAGUCCGUAAUGUGCUUUGGGACUGGUUGGUAUGAUUGGUUGGGGUUCUGAGGGCCUCGGGUGGAUUCCGGAUGGUUAACGGAUCGAAUUCGGAGUUUGAAGAAGAGCUGAGGUUGCUAGUGUAACCGCACCUGCGAAUCUAGGACUACAGGUGCGGAGUCGCAGAAGCGGCCUUAGGGUUGCAGAUGCAGUAUGGGCGGAAGAGAGCUGGGACUGUAGAUGCGAUCAUUAAAGGGGAGCCUGGAGGAAACCACAGAAACGGUAGGAUUUCUUGCACCUGCAGAACCGCAGAAGCGGUCAAGGGACCGCAGGUGCAGAAAGUGCUGGAGGCAGUGGGUGUUUUAGAAAAAUCGGGGUUUUGGCCAUUUUCUCUAAUAUUUUCUUGGCUUGGGAGAUUCUUGUAGAGUUUCAAGAGGGGAUUUUCAUCAUCAAUGACAAGGUAAGCUAACCCCACCUAUAUUUAGUUAAAUAUAUCGAUUUUGUAUGGAUUUUAGCAUGCAAAUAGGUAGAAACUUGGGGGUUUGAGGAAAACCUAGAAAAUUUGUAUUCUUGGAAUUUGACCACGAUUAUGGGUAUAGAGUUGAGAGAAAAUAUAUUUGAGUUCGUGAGUUCAUGGGUAAACCUUAUCUUCAAAAAUUUGUGGUAUCAUGGCACGUGGACCCGAGGACCUUUUUGUCAACUUUUCGAUCAGGGUUAGGAAUCGUUAUAAAUUGAAUCGUUAUGAGUAAUUGAUCAUAUAUUAAUGGAUUUGCAUAAUUAUUGGCUAGCUUUGGAGCAUUUUGCAUCGAUUCGAGUCUUCGGGAGGGCGUGGAAUGCCGGCUAUGGAUCUUCCGAGCGAGGUAAGUCUCCUUUCUAACUUCGUGAGGGGGAAUUGUCCCCAUAAGUGAACUAAUCAAUUAUGUGCUCCUAUUUGUGGGGGCUACAUACGCAUGAGGUGACGAGAGUCCGUGUGUAGCUACUAAUAUGUGUAAGUCCGGGUAGUCUAGGACCCAAAAAAUGCUAUACUUGGAAUAUUU